RNAcentral lists this ribosomal RNA (322 nucleotides) under uncultured Bacteroidota bacterium. Its description in RNAcentral is "bacterial SSU rRNA". It matches the Rfam family "Bacterial small subunit ribosomal RNA", at positions 28 to 351 of the family's 1533-position model. The record is from RNAcentral. Lineage: Bacteria; Pseudomonadati; Bacteroidota.
GAUGAACGCUAGCGGCAGGCCUAACACAUGCAAGUCGAGGGGUAUAGGAAGCUUGCUUCCUAGAGACCGGCGCACGGGUGCGUAACGCGUAUGCAAUCUACCUUGUACAGAGGAAUAGCCCAGAGAAAUUUGGAUUAAUGCCUCAUAGUAUAUUGAUUCGGCAUCGGAUUAAUAUUAAAGUUUCGGCGGUACAAGAUGAGCAUGCGUCCCAUUAGUUAGUUGGUAAGGUAACGGCUUACCAAGACAAUGAUGGGUAGGGGUCCUGAGAGGGAGAUCCCCCACACUGGUACUGAGACACGGACCAGACUCCUACGGGAGGCAG